Molecule: small RNA, 8476 nt
Filed under: Pongo abelii (Sumatran orangutan)
Lineage: Eukaryota; Metazoa; Chordata; Mammalia; Primates; Hominidae
Description: processed transcript
Source: RNAcentral
UGGCUGCCACGGGCGGUGGGCGGGCGGAGGAGAGCACCGGACCACCAGUGCAGGCUGCCGAGUCGGGGCGGCCGCCCGCGGGGAAGCUGCGAGGCGCGGGAGCACCUGGGGGACCGCUCGCAGCGGGGACGCGAGGACCCGGGCUGGGCUUUCCUCACCCUGGUACCUUGUUAUCCCAUAACUUUGGUAUCCUGAAAUCUGAGGAUUCCAACAAGAUAAUAUGAUAAGAACUUUCAGUGAUUUGGGGCCAUAUCCUACUUAGACUAAUGUGGAAUUUCCAGAUUUCCUGAGAGUUUGGUACAGCAGCACACACUGCUUGCUAAUCAGCACAGGCAAUAAUGCCAUCUCUGCCUCAAGAAGGAGUUAUUCAGGGACCCUCUCCCCUGGAUUUGAAUACAGAAUUACCUUAUCAAAGCACAAUGAAAAGGAAAGUCAGAAAGAAGAAAAAGAAGGGAACCAUUACAGCAAAUGUUGCCGGGACAAAGUUUGAAAUUGUUCGUUUAGUAAUAGAUGAAAUGGGAUUUAUGAAAACUCCAGAUGAGGAUGAAACAAGUAAUCUUAUAUGGUGUGAUUCUGCUGUUCAGCAGGAGAAAAUUUCAGAGCUGCAAAAUUAUCAGAGGAUCAACCAUUUUCCAGGAAUGGGGGAGAUCUGUAGGAAGGAUUUCUUAGCAAGAAAUAUGACCAAAAUGAUCAAGUCUCGGCCUCUGGAUUAUACCUUUGUUCCUCGAACAUGGAUCUUUCCUGCCGAAUAUACUCAAUUCCAAAAUUAUGUGAAAGAAUUGAAGAAAAAACGGAAGCAGAAAACUUUUAUAGUGAAACCAGCUAAUGGUGCAAUGGGUCAUGGGAUUUCUUUGAUAAGAAAUGGUGACAAACUUCCAUCUCAGGAUCAUUUGAUUGUUCAAGAAUACAUUGAAAAGCCUUUCCUAAUGGAAGGUUACAAGUUUGACUUACGAAUUUAUAUUCUGGUUACAUCGUGUGAUCCACUAAAAAUAUUUCUCUACCAUGAUGGACUUGUGCGAAUGGGUACAGAGAAGUACAUUCCACCUAAUGAGUCCAAUUUGACCCAGUUAUACAUGCAUCUGACAAACUACUCCGUGAACAAGCAUAAUGAGCGUUUUGAACGGGAUGAAACUGAGAACAAAGGCAGCAAACGUUCCAUCAAAUGGUUUACAGAAUUCCUUCAAGCAAAUCAACAUGAUGUUGCUAAGUUUUGGAGUGAUAUUUCAGAAUUGGUGGUAAAGACCCUGAUUGUAGCAGAACCUCAUGUCCUGCAUGCGUAUCGAAUGUGUAGACCUGGUCAACCUCCAGGAAGCGAAAGUGUCUGCUUUGAAGUCCUGGGAUUUGAUAUAUUGUUGGAUAGAAAACUAAAGCCAUGGCUUCUGGAGAUUAACCGAGCCCCAAGCUUUGGAACUGAUCAGAAAAUAGACUAUGAUGUAAAAAGGGGAGUGCUGCUAAAUGCAUUGAAGCUACUAAACAUAAGGACCAGUGACAAAAGGAGAAACUUGGCCAAACAAAAAGCUGAGGCUCAAAGGAGGCUCUAUGGUCAAAAUUCAAUUAAAAGGCUCUUACCAGGCUCCUCAGACUGGGAACAGCAGAGACACCAGUUGGAGAGGCGGAAAGAAGAGUUGAAAGAGAGACUCGCUCAAGUACGAAAGCAGAUCUCACGAGAAGAACAUGAAAAUCGACAUAUGGGGAAUUAUAGACGAAUUUAUCCUCCUGAAGAUAAAGCACUACUUGAAAAGUAUGAAAAUUUGUUAGCCGUUGCCUUUCAGACCUUCCUUUCAGGAAGAGCAGCUUCAUUCCAGCGAGAGUUGAAUAAUCCUUUGAAAAGGAUGAAGGAGGAAGAUAUUUUGGAUCUUCUGGAGCAAUGUGAAAUUGAUGAUGAAAAGUUGAUGGGAAAAACUACCAAGAUUCGAGGACCAAAGGGUCGAAUAACUCAUUAUGUAGUCAAGCUCUUUAAGAACACUUAAAGCUGUUUGCUACAUGAAGGAAGGCACUACUAGCAAGCCUGAUUGUGCCACUGUUUCUUCUGGAAAACAAGCAACUAGUAUACAACUGAAGGAACCUCUCCCAUCAGGAAUGGGAGGCAUAUGCCUCUGUGUUCUAUGCCUGAGAGUACUGAGAUAAUGAAAAGACCGAAAUACUGCAGCAGUGACAGCAGUUAUGAUAGUAGCAGCAGCUCUUCAGAAUCUGACGAAAAUGAAAAAGAAGAGUACCAAAAUAAGAAAAGAGAAAAGCAAGUUACAUAUAAUCUUAAACCCUCCAACCACUACAAAUUAAUUCAACAACCCAGCUCCAUAAGACGUUCAGUCAGCUGCCCUCGGUCCAUCUCUGCUCAAUCACCUUCCAGUGGGGACACUCGCCCAUUUUCUGCUCAACAAAUGAUAUCUGUGUCACGGCCAACUUCUGCAUCUCGGUCACAUUCCUUAAACCGUGCUUCCUCCUACGUGAGGCAUCUGCCUCACAGUAAUGAUGCCUGCUCUACCAACUCUCAAGUGAGUGAGUCUUUGCGGCAACUGAAAACAAAAGAACAAGAAGAUGAUCUAACAAGUCAGACCUUAUUUGUUCUCAAGGACAUGAAGAUCCGGUUUCCAGGAAAGUCAGAUGCAGAAUCAGAACUUCUGAUAGAAGAUAUCAUCGAUAACUGGAAGUAUCAUAAAACCAAAGUGGCUUCAUAUUGGCUCAUAAAAUUGGACUCUGUAAAACAACGAAAAAUGAAGAUAUUUUCAGUUUGUAUGAUGAUGAGAAUGAUUUAGAAGAGAGGAAUGGCCCAGGAAAGAGAGGUGAUAAAAAGUUCUUGAGUUUUGGACAUAGUGAAAACAAGCAUUCGUACAGUUCUUCCACGCAUCUGGAAGGUGCCUGAUGUCGAAGAAGUAAAUUUAUAUCGGAUUUUCAACCGGGUUUUUAAUCGCUUACUCUGGAGUCAUGGCCAAGGGCUCUGGAACUGUUUCUGUGAUUCAGGUUAGGUGUAAAAUCUUAGAAAAAUAUAAUCCAAGUCUUUGAUUAUAUCCAAGAAUCCAAGGCCUUGAUUCUUGCCUUUGCAUGUCAACAUCCCCAACAAUAAAACAAAAUCCUCUUGGGAGAGUAUAUUCAAUAAAAGCCCGGAGGUGGUGACUCCUUUGCAGCUCCAGUGUUGCCAGCGCCUGGUGGAGCUUUGUAAACAGUGCCUGCUAGUGGUUUACAAAUAUGCAACUGACAAAAGAGGAUCACUUUCAGGCAUUGGUCCUGACUGGGGUAAUUCCAGUAUUUACCUUUAAGGGACUGAACAAGGACGGCAAUCACUAACCUAAAGGUGAUAAAACAUACUUGGAAAUAAAGUUAUUUGACUUAUAUACCUUCACUUUCAAAAGUCCAGAGCAAGAGCAUCCAAAAAUGUGAAGCUGGUUGAUCACAAUAAUAGCAGUGGUAAAGAUUUCAUAAACUAAUUUCUGUUGAUGGAUCUUGUAGCUUUUGUGGGUACACAAAGUAGGAUGAGUCUUCUUGGUUACAUUGGAGGAAAAAGAUAUGGCCAUUUGUGAAACAGAAGGGAAGAUCACCAUUGGUUAUACAUAACAGCAAUUCAUUUUUUUCCCCUAAAGUUGAACAUGCAAAGAACAUGACCAUUAAGUGCUGUUUUAUGUAUAUAAGACAUAUAUAUGUGUGAAAAUAUAUGCACAUAUGCACCCAAAUAACAUAUAUUUAUUAUAUUAAAUAAUAUAUGAAAGAAGAAUUAGCAGAAAAUGGAAUAUAAGACUUAACCUUUCUGGAAAUGUAAUAAACCAUGUUAAAAUUGUUUACACAAAUAUGUGAAUGUCUAGAACUUGCUAGGUUUAUAAUUAAUUCCUUCCUACUAGAAAUGUUAUUUUUGCUGCAGAGUAUAUAAAACAAAUUGAUCUUGAAGAUCCAAUUACAGUGUUAAAUUAUUUUCUAGAUAACAUGCCUUUUGACCUGAAAAAGGGUUUAGUAUAAUACCUUAAAAAUUCUCAUAUAUAGUAGCCAUUUUAAAUGAAACAAAAAGAUUUAGAAGCCUGGUGUUGCUUGAUGAUAAGAUUAAGAAGUUUAAAACGGGUUUAUCAUUACUAUAGCACACUGUAAAGUACUAGAAAAGUCAUAACCUGAUUCUCUAACCUUUUUAUUCCUCUAUGUGGAAAUUUAGCUACUUGUAAUAAUGUACAUUUUCAGUAAGGAUCUGGUAAGAUCAUACUAUGAUCUAAAAUGAAAGACAGGCUGGGUGCGGUGGCUCACGCCUGUAAUCCCAGCACUUUGGGAGGCCGAGGUGAGUGGAUCACCGGAGGUCAGGAGUUUGAGACUAGCCUGGCCAACAUGGUGAAACCCCAUCUCUACUAAAAAUACAAAAAUCAGCUGGGUGUGGUGGUAAGUGCCUGUAAUCCCAGCUACUUGGGAGGCUGAGACAGGAGAAUCACUUGAACCUGGGAGGCGGAGGUUGCAGUGAGCCGAGAUCGUGCCAUUGCAUUCCAGCCUGGGUGAUGAGAGUGAAACUCUGUCUCAAAAAUAAAUAAAUAAAUAAAUAAAUAAAUAAAUAAAUAAAUAAAUAAAAAGAUUAAAUAAAUAAAAUGGAAGACAAUCCAAUGGGUUAAAAAUAAAAUGUAAACUAGCUUUCAUUUUUACUUUUCAUAGAGAAUCACAUAAAGGAACAGAAAAUGAUGGUAACAAAAUCUUUCUAUAUGGCUUUUAUGUCUUAUACCACUCAUUUUUAUUUGGAAAGUAUAUCUUUGAUGGGUUUAACAUAUGGUUAAAUACAAUUUCUCCUGUUUUGCAGAAGUAGAAGAGCUGACACAUUUCGCUCAUUUUAGUGUUAUAGGAUAAUGAGACAAACUUAUUUUUAUAAAUCUCUCAAGGUUGAAAUCAACUUAUAUUUGCAAAGUCUAAUACAGUAGUUUCUCAUUGCACCACAGAAACAGUUAAAGGAUUGUGAAUAGAAGAUUUCAAUGAUCACAUAUUACAAGUCAUCAGUGUACCCUUGAGGGUUUUUAAAAAAUCAAAGCAGAGAACGAAGUGUUCUUGUCCAAAAGUUGUUAUGCAUAAGUUUCAUAGCAGUUUACUUCCUUUUCUUAAAUACAGUUUUUAAAACCAAGAAUGAGCUUUCAGUUUUCCAUAAAAAUAUAAGCUGUACUACUUUGACAUUGAAAUAAUCAGUGCAGCCAUCACUUCUUAGAAUUUAUUUAAACUUCUUCUCCCAACAGUUUUAUUUUCUCCUAGCUGCUAAUUAUUUUCAAAAUUCAUGAACGUUUUACCUCCUUUUGCUAUUCUGAAAGUUAUUUCAAGAAGCGGCCCCAAAGCAGGAGAACUGAGAGGGGCAAAUUGGCCUGGUUUAAUUCACAGCCUGAAUAAUUGGCAACCUAAAGUUGUAAGUUAUAGAUGUAUUUUGCUUUUCAAGCCAUCUUCUGAGCCUUUUUUAGGCUGAAAUGAUUUGUUUCUUUCCCAAAUUAUUGCUAGCUACUUGAUUUUUUAAGACUACCUAACAUCCACAUUUGGUAGAUACUUUUCCUCUGUGCAUGCAUCCCGAAGAAGAAUUUGCUAUUUGUGGAAGAAGAGGAUAAGGGUAUCAGAAUGAAGGAAAUUACGUGACUACACUGUUUGUGACUCCAUUUUGUGAAUUCUUAAAUAUGUUAUGGAUUUUUUUUAGAAAAAAUAAUGCAAAAAUUGGGAUAUUACAGAAUCACCAUAAGGAUGGUCAACAAGUAAUAAGUCUUUUCAUGGAGUUCAUUUUUCUUUUAAAUUCAUGAUUUGGCCACAAAUAUAUAUAUAUAACUUUAAGUGUCUGAUAUAUGAUAACAGCCCAGUUUCUUGGCCACUCAUUUGCGUUAUCUUAAAUCACAAAUAAUUACUUAAUUUGCUGGAGUGUGAGCUUUGCAACUUUUGUACCAGAGCAAAAUUUUUAUUUAAAACAAAAAAUAAGAAUGUCCAUCACUAGGAGAAACACUCCUCCCAGAAAACACACACACACACACACACACACACACAAUUUAAAAACUGAGUAAAUUUAAAUGUAUGAAAGUACCCCACAAAUUGAUUUCAACAAAUAAAUUUCAUUUCUCUAGCUACUUAUGUCUGGCCUUAUUUUGAGUGUUACAAUUUUAUUGCCUUCCUUUGCCUAUUUAGACUGAUGUAGUUUGAUAUGAUGAAGUUGUGAAUAAAAGCCUUGUGUUCAUUAUUUAUAUAUACUACCUGGUAUGCUAUGGACUGUGUCUGCUGUAGUGCUAUUCCCUAAUGAGCAACUAAGAAGAGAAGACACAACAAUAAACCAUGGAAGUGUUGGGAGGCCAUGGAAAUGAUUUAGAGAUAUAAAAUAUUCCCCAGUUUUUAUUAUAAGUUUUUAUUCAUGGGUUAAAACAUAUCAGCAUAAGUGAUAGUACAGGUGUGACUCCCUUUUCUAGGAGAGAAAAUAGCUUUAUUCGAAAACUCCAAAAGCUACUUAAUCUUACAGAGGUUUUUAAUAGGGGAACUGGGUUUACUUACAAUGAAAGCAUAUUUUCAUUUUGCUAUAGAAAACAUAUCCUGCUCAUUCAGUAAAUCUAAGAUUGGAAUGCUUUCUAGAACUAUGCAAUAUUUGAAUAAUUUCUAGAAAUGUCUAAGAAACAACCUUUUUUAUUUGAAACCAUCACUUACAAACGUAGUCUGAGACUGCAAAUUAGUUUUCACUUGAAUAAUCCAUCAUUAUAGAUUAGUUACCAUUUGCUCUAUAUAAUCUAUUGAAGGAACUAUUGUUAUUCAUAUUUUGAUUAAUUUUACUAGCAACAAAUUUUUAUUUUAGUAGCAUUGCGUUUACCUUAAAUAUGUAAAAAUGAAGUUGUAACAGGAUCAAAUAUGGAAAUGGCAAUGGUAACUCUGCCUAGAACAUAGUUGAAUGUCCUUGGUUGUCUGUAAGAUGCAAAGAUCUAUACAAAUUUUAUCAUAGGUCAAAAUUAUUUCUAAAUACACAGUUUCAACUAUUUCUUCCUCCCUAAAACUAAAACCAAACCAAACCCAAAUGAAGAAACCUAAACUUCUUUUCAUCUAAUAGUUAUACCCAACUAGAUAGAUAAUAGUAGCUUCUAGACAUCAAUAAAAAGAUUUUAUUUCAAUUGUCUUUUUAAUUUGUAAAAUAUAUGAGUAUGGAAUUUUGUAUCUAACUUGAAAUUUCAGAUGUUUUAAUAAUUCAAAUACUUUCUUCUUUAGCAUGUCAAAGUACUAAUAGUUUAAAAAUCUCUUUAGAUCUAAGCAUAUACAUUACUCGACUUUUUCAAAAGUAUCAAAAAAUUGAUAGCUGCAGAAAUGUCAUUAUUUGAUUUUCUAAAAAACAUUGAUUCAUUCUUAAAUGUAUAUUCUUUAAAAAAUAGUAAAUACCUCAAGAGUGACAGAAAACUUUCCUUUUCCGUUCUGUAAUGCUAAUUUAAACUUUGAGUCUUAGUUUACAUGGUCAUAGGGGUUAAAUAAAACGUAUAAGUGUACAAUUAAUUGUGUUCUUGUGACCUGAUGAUUUUUUGAAAAUUUGCUUUUCUCUUUAAAUUAAGAAAUUUAAGUUUUCAAGGGCCACAUUAGUUAUCUAAAUAUUUUGGGCUAAUGUUGACUUAUAAAUAAAUAAAAAUUUAGAAAUAUAUUCAUGAUGACAAUUUUGUUACUUACACUGCCUAUUCUUUAUUUCUUCUUUUUUAGUUCAAAGGUGAAAUUUUGACCUUUGUAUUAACAAAGCCUCAAGAAAAGAGAAAUUCUGCCUUUUAAACAUUGGUUUUCCUUGCAUUUUAUGGUGGUGUGCUUUUGCCUCAGCAAUAAUAAAACAUAAAAUAUGUUGUUGCAUCAAGUUCAGUUUGUCUGCUGAGAUUAUUUUUAAGAACCAGGUUGAAGUCUCUAUGCCUAAAAAAGCAUUUAUUGUCUGGAUCCAUAUAAAGCAAGAUACAUGGCUACAAAUAAGUCUUGCAACCAAAAUUGGUAUAUUAAAAUUUACUGCACACUUUGAGAUUGCUGCCAUUUUUUGGUGCUUUUUGGACCUCGUCAUAAAGGGAUGUAUCGUAUAUUGAGGGAAAAUUACUCAAGUUACACAUUCUACAUUAACUGCGCUGUAUUAUCUACAGCUACAAUCAAUGGACCAAUGGUUCCUAAAUUAGUAAUAAGGCUUACCUUACAAAAGUAAUGAAAUAACACUGAUAUUUCUCUUUCAAAGGCUAACAGCAAUUCUUGGUCCUGAGCUAUUCGGUUCAUACAGUAACUACUGUACAUGCUACAACAUCUGAAUAUUAAUGGUUUUGCUGCAGAUUCUGGGUAUGAGGAUUAGCUUAAAAGCAAUACAUUUGCUAACAUGAAUCAUGACUCAUAUUAUCCCCAUGUGCUUUACUACCUGUAUUUGAAUGCAAAUGUUGUUACAGAAAAUAUGCUUGAAAUGUCAAUACAGUGUGCAAUUAGUGUUGCAUUGUCAUGCUCCAGCAUGUGAUAUCUGUAUGGUGAAGUUAUUUCAAUUACUCUGAUAUGUUACUAUAAUAAAAAAGUUUAACCUAAGAAA